AACAUGAAGUCACUUAGGGUGUUCUUUGAGGACACCUGAUCUGCCAUCACGAGACUAGGCACCUUGAGGACCUCCUCAUACCUCUCUAGUUAGCACAGUAUCAUGCAGAAGAAGAGGGCUAGAUCUGGAGAGGUUGCUUUGCGCUCAGAGCAGAGAGACACAGCCUGACGAUCAGCUUUCCUCAUUCAUUUUUCGGAAUGCAACCACAGGCAUGGCAUGCCGAACUGUUUACAGUGAAAAUAAAGGAAAGACUGCAGAAGAUGGCACCAAGAAAGUGGAUGGUGACAACCUUGAUUGAGAGGACUCUUCAGGGCAUCUGGGUGUUUUGGGUCCUUGUCUAGGAUUCUGGUGAUAUGGAAGAGGAUGUACGAUGUCCAGCCUGGGGAGAAAUGCAGAAGGCAGUUUAAUAAAGCAUGCAGUGGAAUUGCCCUCCCUGGCCCUCCAGAUUAUAACAGUGGAGCACGGCCUGUCAGCCUCCCUCCUUCUCUCUCUGCCUCCCUCCCUGCCUUCCCUCUUGUUUUUCUUUAAUUAAGGCUGGUAUCUCAAUGAGGAUCUGAAGAGAUGCUCAUAUGUGCUCAGAAACUCUUCUGCAGUGCAGUGUUCACAGAAGGCCUCGUGGUGCUCACUUUCCUGCUCAGAGCUGCAAAGUCGAGCCUCCGCUGAGCUGGCAAAGAAGAGCCUGACUUUGUACAGAGGAAAUAAGGCUCAAUGCUGGUCAUUUCAACUCUUUGAAAGAGCUUUUCACAAAAUCCUGAAGAGGUGAUGUGUGUUGUCAUCAACUGGGGCGGUGGAAACCAGAAGCUUGCAGCUUAGGAGUCUGCUUUUUGAAUUAGCUCUUUGGGUAAUCAGUAUUCACACUAAAACCCGAGAGCUUCCCUCUAAAGUCAUUGUGACCUUUGGGGGAAGAGAGUGCUUGAUAGGAAGAAAAAUAACCACAUGAGCUGCCUCUUCUGAACUCCACUGGCCUUCAGAAUCAGUUCAUAAAUAAGACCGUAAACUUCCUGAGGUAAGGAAUCUUAAAUUGCAUUUCUUUGUGUCUCAGACACAGCAGUAUGUAACCAUGGAAUGAGCACAGUCCUGAGAGUCAAAAACACCUGAGUUUCAACUCUAUCUGCAACUGUCUCACCUUGGAUAAAUCCCGU
Molecule: long non-coding RNA, 1142 nt
Filed under: Equus caballus (horse)
Lineage: Eukaryota; Metazoa; Chordata; Mammalia; Perissodactyla; Equidae
Description: lncRNA (ENSECAG00000052839.1)
Source: RNAcentral